GGUGGCUCAAUGGUAGAGUGCUUGCUUUGCAUGCAAGAGGCCCUGGGUUCGAUUCCUCAGCACCA
Molecule: transfer RNA, 65 nt
Filed under: Dipodomys ordii (Ord's kangaroo rat)
Lineage: Eukaryota; Metazoa; Chordata; Mammalia; Rodentia; Heteromyidae
Rfam family: tRNA
About the family: Transfer RNA (tRNA) molecules are approximately 80 nucleotides in length.
Source: Rfam by way of RNAcentral